CUGAGUCCCUGGCAGGUCUUUUGCAAAGCAGCUGAACGUUGAUUGGUGCAGGCGAAUCCACUGUUCCCAUUCCAAAUACCAUACCAAAAUGUGCACUGGCAUGCACUUUGAUGUCAACUCAUUCAGGACUCCUGUCUUGUUAGAGUCUCCAAACGAAAGAGAAGGCCUAGGGGAUCCUAGCAUAUGCAUUGGGCUUGUCCUUGAGCCUUUCUAUAAAAUGACGGCCAUCCCUGUGAGCAAUAUGCAGACAUUGUGUCUCAGCCGUCCUGCAGGUGGCGGCGCAGACACCAGCAGUACUGCCAGUAGAUCCAUCCAUGGAUCCAUAAGCUUAGCUGCAAAGCUUGCAGAUCUGACUCUAGAGUUGUCACACUGUCACGAUGGCAGUAGCAUCCUGCACGCCCUGGAAUUGGCCUGUCAUGAUGACAGUAGCAUCUGCACGCCCGGGAAUUGGCCUGCAAGGUGCAACAGUCAUUUGGUUGAUGCGAAUGUAUUUCUCGUCAUUUUUACCAACAGUACUGGUGCUUGGUACAAGGAAGGUACAAGAGUCUCUGCCGCAGCAGUGGCAUGCCGUUCUUAUGCUGCCAGAUCUUGACUUCCAGAAUUCAGAGAAGUGGCUCAAUGCAAAGAAGCGCCCCGAUAUGAAGUGGUAAGCCAUUGAUGGUCACAUCAACACCUUCCUGCUUGCAACUCUGUACAGCUGCAGUGUGCGGAUGCACCUGAAGUUCCUUAAUCUAGACGUCUCAGGGUCCAGAGAUAUUAAACUGAGAGAUGCGCUUCAUGUUUGCGCUCCAAUUCGCUCCACAAGUAUUGGCUUGUCGUGCAAAAAUGUUCGCUCUCUUUCAUCAAAGUACUAGGCAUCGUGAUCCCUUUCCUCUUCUGUAUCGCUCAGUACGUCGGCUGGAUCGUCGUUUCUUCUCAAGGUGAGACCAAGAUCACGGAAGUUGAAUACAACUUUCGAGAUGUAUAUCACGCACGCACAUAGCAACACGAAAACUAGAAUACGCUCUGCAUUCUCUCCUAUAUUGGGCUCAAUCGAGUCCCCCAUGCCUCCAGCCCUGCUGAAAAGGUGAGAUCGGUUACCAGCGUAAUCUGCGGGAGAAAG
Molecule: long non-coding RNA, 1102 nt
Filed under: Coccomyxa subellipsoidea
Lineage: Eukaryota; Viridiplantae; Chlorophyta; Trebouxiophyceae; Coccomyxaceae
Description: long non-coding RNA (CSUB_LNC000415)
Source: RNAcentral